RNAcentral lists this ribosomal RNA (540 nucleotides) under Bifidobacterium longum. RNAcentral describes it as "bacterial SSU rRNA". It matches the Rfam family "Bacterial small subunit ribosomal RNA", at positions 156 to 711 of the family's 1533-position model. Lineage: Bacteria; Bacillati; Actinomycetota; Actinomycetes; Bifidobacteriales; Bifidobacteriaceae. The record is from RNAcentral.
ACGGGUGGUAAUGCCGGAUGCUCCAGUUGAUCGCAUGGUCUUCUGGGAAAGCUUUCGCGGUAUGGGAUGGGGUCGCGUCCUAUCAGCUUGACGGCGGGGUAACGGCCCACCGUGGCUUCGACGGGUAGCCGGCCUGAGAGGGCGACCGGCCACAUUGGGACUGAGAUACGGCCCAGACUCCUACGGGAGGCAGCAGUGGGGAAUAUUGCACAAUGGGCGCAAGCCUGAUGCAGCGACGCCGCGUGAGGGAUGGAGGCCUUCGGGUUGUAAACCUCUUUUAUCGGGGAGCAAGCGUGAGUGAGUUUACCCGUUGAAUAAGCACCGGCUAACUACGUGCCAGCAGCCGCGGUAAUACGUAGGGUGCAAGCGUUAUCCGGAAUUAUUGGGCGUAAAGGGCUCGUAGGCGGUUCGUCGCGUCCGGUGUGAAAGUCCAUCGCUUAACGGUGGAUCCGCGCCGGGUACGGGCGGGCUUGAGUGCGGUAGGGGAGACUGGAAUUCCCGGUGUAACGGUGGAAUGUGUAGAUAUCGGAAAGAACACCA